AUGGAACCAGAGAUUACGGGCCACCGUCUCCACCCAGGCUGCACCUUGGUGCUCAAAGCCGACGGCGACGCCUUCAACUGUGCCGCCUGCAUGCGCGAGAGCUCCCAGGCCUACCGGUACAGCUGCGAGCAUCUGGACCUCCAUGGCCAGUGCGUGACGUCGCCUGACUCCUUCUCCUUCUGGGGCCAUCCGCACCACCCUCUGGAGCUGGUGAACUCCGGCCCGGACCUGGCAGCAACCCUGCGGUCCACCAGACCGGAUGUCGCCAAGGCCCUCGUGGCCUCCUCUCCGGCAGCCGACGGCCGCAUCCCAGUCUACUGCAACAUGUGCACCAACGAGAUUCGGGGCAUGCACUACCGGUGCGCGCCGUGCGGCGUGUUCAUGCACCCGGUCUGCGUGCAGCUCCCAGUCACGGUGCGCAGCGCGGCGCACCCGGAGCACGAGCUCACGCUCAUCUGCUCGUGGCCGUCCAUGUGCGUCGCGUGCACCACGCCGAGCACCUGGGCAUACCGGUGCUUCCGCUGCCUCCUCCUCCGCGGCUUCCAUGCCAACUGCAUCCCGGAAUAUCACCACUUGCUGGGCGCACCCUACUCCGCCGGCGACGACCCGAACGGCGUCCCCGACCGCACGAGGCGGUUCGGAAUCAUCCUCCGGCCUAACCCGCCACCGCCCCCGAAGAUGUUCGUGGACCAGGGGGAUCCCUUCGUCGGCAUGAACCCGCUUGGAAUCAUGGACCCGUUCAACAUGCCGAGGCGUGGGCCGAGCGACGCUCCAAGCGUCCAGCCGGACCCAUGCGGCGGAGCCUUCCCUUUCAGCGGCGAGUACGGCCGCUCCACGUUCGCACAGUAA
This 849-nucleotide ribosomal RNA is filed under the name Triticum aestivum (bread wheat). RNAcentral's name for it is "partial small subunit ribosomal RNA". Lineage: Eukaryota; Viridiplantae; Streptophyta; Magnoliopsida; Poales; Poaceae. The record is from RNAcentral.